AGAGGAGUGGAAGAACAUUUCACGGGCCACAAUUAACAAUAUUGUCAACUCGAUGACAAGACGAUGUGUUGCUCUACAGGAAGCCAAUGGUGGACACAUGAGAUAUGGAGUUGUGAUUUCUUUCAACCGGACCCCACUGUGUCCACAUGAAUGUCCCUGAAUGCCAGACGCCACUAUCAUGUUCUAACGGACACUAAUCUGUGAAAAUUCACCAUUGUGUGAUCAAUA
Molecule: long non-coding RNA, 228 nt
Organism: Sphaeramia orbicularis (orbiculate cardinalfish)
Lineage: Eukaryota; Metazoa; Chordata; Actinopteri; Kurtiformes; Apogonidae
Exons: 4
Source: RefSeq, a predicted model, not a curated record